Non-coding RNA from Prunus avium (sweet cherry), 207 nucleotides. Lineage: Eukaryota; Viridiplantae; Streptophyta; Magnoliopsida; Rosales; Rosaceae. The record is from RefSeq and is a predicted model, not a curated record.
AGAAACCACACAAUGGGGAUCGAUGGAUUGGUAAAGUCAACUUUGUUGAAAUACGCUCGUUUUGGCACAUUUUCAGAAGUUUUGAUAGAAUGUGGAGCUUUUAUAUAUUGAGUUUGCAGGCAAUGAUCAUUGUUGCUUGGAAUGGGUCGGGGAAAUUAAGUUCCAUGUUUGAAGGUGAUGUCUUUAAGAAAGUGCUGAGUAUUUUCA